UGAACAUGUCGGCAGACGGGACCAAGUUAUUAUUCGAGGGCUUUCUGCAGAAAAGAAAGGACACUCUGAAGAUAAUGUGGGUCACUUAUUGGUUCAGACUCCAGAACACCACCUUGUUCUUCUACACUAAGAAGAACGGCAGUGCUUUGCACCUGAGAGGAUAUUACUACAUCUACACAGUGCAGUCAGUGAGAGAAGUCCAGAAAGCUGACAGACAGCGCUUCAUGUUUGAAAUCAUCAUGACGAGUGGAAAAAGAAAAGUGUUGGCAGCAGAGACAGCAGCUCUGAGGAAGGAAUGGGUCAGGACACCUCUGGAGAGCCAUGAACCUGUCCACCAGCAGCUCAGUCUCUCACCUCCAGAUGUGCGAGCAGCAGCCAGACAGAAGACACAGCAGCAGGACACCUGUCAGUGUGAUCGAGCUGCUUCCUGCUCGGCCUCUUUCUGCUCCUCCACCUUCAGACCACCUCCAGCCUGAAGCCAGAAGCAUCAAACCUGCCGUGGACCAGCCUGAGGAGCAGAGCGGAGAGGAGGAGGCCAUCUACCAGAACACACUGUUGGCCUGCAGCUACCAGGACCACAGCGAUGAUCCUCAGAGGUGCAGUGAGCUGAACGAUGCAGAGAGCAGUCUAGAAGGAGACUAUGACGUUUUACCCGUUAGAAACAAAAUAUGUGAGGCGAGCAUUUCAGCAGAGAUGGAUGAGAACAUCUAUGACUUCCCUCAGUCCUACAGGACUUCAGCUCAAUGUCAGGACCUCACAGAGAGCAUCUAUGACGUACCGAGCUCUCUUCUGAGGAAGAUGCCUGAAGACAAAACAGAUGAGCAGCUGGAGGAAGAAUCGAGCUGGAAGGUGUCGUUUGAGGACAGCAGCAGCACAUUUAGCUCACAAUGCAUUUAACUCUUCCAUUCUUUGUACACAAGUUUCCGCUUAAUGCCUCCGAGUUUCAGGUUCGAGUCAGACAAACUGUAUUUAUGCAACAGAUACAACAAGUAAAUAACUCUUUUUUUGGACGUUGUUCAGCUUUUCUGCGUUUGACAACAAGCAAAACCACGACAGAGAGAUUCGACUGUGGGGUUUAUUUCAGCUUAUGUGAUCAUUUUUAACUAUGGAGGACACGCUGUACAGAAGAGUCUACAGAGAAGCACUGUGGCUCACAAUAACUUUCCAUGCCACAAGGUUCACUGCUGAAACGUUCACACCAUAAACAUCCAUAUUGCUGUUUCACACACUUUGGAUUUAAGGGGAAUGAUCUGAGCUUCAACCCUUCAUGGGUUUUAUGGAACAUAAAAAAAAAUACAGCAUCUCUUUUAUCGUUUCCUGCAGGCAAAUAGAAACUGCUAAUUCCUCGUGUUUUUGACAUGUUGCCUGAUAUAAUACACUAGAAAAAAACUGAGAUUAAAAUAUCACCUGAACAAUUAGAACAGGGCUGUCAAACAUGCGGUCUGCGGGCCAAAACCGGCCCUCCAGUGGGUCCGAUCCGGCCCACUUUGUAAAGUGUAAAAAUGACAGAGAAGACAUGAACUGUAGAUUGUAAAUUGGUGAAACUAUAAAUGACAAGUUGUUUUGAUCAUAAAGUAAAAUACUACGGUAGAUUGUUCAUUGUCCUUUUGUUGUUUUGUGCCUCGUUUUGUAAUAUUUUUGGUUUUUGUCUUUUGUCGUCUCAUGUUUUUGCCACUCUGUUUCUCACUUUUGUUGUUUUGUGUUUCCUUUUUGUCUCGCUUGUGUUUUUUGUCAUAUUUUUGUCAUUUUGUGUUUUGCUUUAUUCAUGGUUUUGUGUAUCAUUUUUGUGUUUUUUUUGUCUCACUUAUGUUGUCUAUUUUUUUGUUGUUUUGUUUCUUACUUUUGUCAUUUUCUGUCAAAUUUUUGGUGUUUGUCCAUUUUUUUGUUGCAUUGUAACUUUUUUGUCUAAUUUUUUGUCUUGUUUUGUUUUGCAUCAUUUGUCUCAUUUUUUGUCAUUUUGUUACUCGUUUUUGUCAUUUUGUGUCUCAUUUUUGCAAUAUUUUGUCGUCUGUUCUUUUUGGACUUUUUUGUCUGACUUUUGUCGUUUUGAUCAUAAAGUAAAAUACUACACUGGUCAAAAAAAUUAAAGGAACACUUUUUAAUCUAAGUAUUGCAUCAAGACAGUUAAACUUCUGGGAUACUGAUCUGGUCAAGUAAGUAAAAGAGGUGGUUUUUAGUCAGUUUCAGCUGCUUUGGUGUUCAUGAAAUGAACUGGUGCUCUGUGCUUUUCACAGAUGAGAGCAGGUUCAUCAUGAGCACAUGUGACAGACAUGAAAGGGUCUGGAGAAGCUGUGCAGAUCGUUCUGCUGCCUGUAGUAUUGUUCAGCAUGACCGGUUUGGUGAUGAGUCAGUGAUGGUCUGGGGAGACAUGUCCAUGGAGGGACACACAGACCUCUACAGGCUGGACAGCAGCACUCUGACUGCCAUUAG
This is a long non-coding RNA of Amphiprion ocellaris (clown anemonefish), 2430 nucleotides long. The record is from Ensembl. NCBI's taxonomy places the organism in Eukaryota, Metazoa, Chordata, Actinopteri, Pomacentridae.